Molecule: transfer RNA, 73 nt
Filed under: Stegodyphus dumicola
Lineage: Eukaryota; Metazoa; Arthropoda; Arachnida; Araneae; Eresidae
Description: tRNA-Ser
Rfam family: tRNA
About the family: Transfer RNA (tRNA) molecules are approximately 80 nucleotides in length.
Source: RNAcentral
GCCUUCGUGGUGUAGUGGUCAGCAUGCUCGACGUGAAUUCCAGAGGUCCGUGCUUCGAAUCCCGGCGAGGGCA